RNAcentral lists this ribosomal RNA (403 nucleotides) under Verrucomicrobiota bacterium. RNAcentral describes it as "Verrucomicrobia bacterium partial 16S ribosomal RNA". It matches the Rfam family "Bacterial small subunit ribosomal RNA", at positions 355 to 776 of the family's 1533-position model. Lineage: Bacteria; Pseudomonadati; Verrucomicrobiota. The record is from RNAcentral.
UGGGGAAUAUUGCACAAUGGGCGCAAGCCUGAUGCAGCAACGCCGCGUGAACGAUGAAGGUCUUCGGAUCGUAAAGUUCUGUUGCAGGGGAAGAUAAUGACGGUACUCAGCGAGGAAGCCCCGGCUAACUACGUGCCAGCAGCCGCGGUAAUACGUAGGGGGCUAGCGUUAUCCGGAUUUACUGGGCGUAAAUGGUGCGUAGGUGGUCUUUCAAGUCGGUGGUUAAAGGCUACGGCUCAACCGUAGUUAGCCUCCGAAACUGGAAGACUUGAGUGCAGGAGAGGAAGGUGGAAUUCCCAGUGUAGCGGUGAAAUGCGUAGAUAUUGGGAGGAACACCAGUAGCGAAGGCGGCUUUCUGGACUGCAACUGACACUGAGGCACGAAAGCGUGGGUAGCAAACAGG